Molecule: long non-coding RNA, 2489 nt
Organism: Hyla sarda
Lineage: Eukaryota; Metazoa; Chordata; Amphibia; Anura; Hylidae
Exons: 2
Source: RefSeq, a predicted model, not a curated record
UGAAGAUUUUUUUAUUGAAUGGAUAUAAAAAUGGUACAAAAUAUUUCCUUACAGUCAGUCAUGAUUAAUAAUAAAUUAAAUUAUCACCAAAAAUACUUCCAAUUUGGAAAAACAAAAACAGGAUCUAUAAAAGUUGCAGUUAAAGCAUUACAGGAAUACACUAUGGGGUAUACAGAUAUUUCACAUAUGCUUUAUAUAAGUGCACCAUGAAGGUUAAAACAACAGCUGUUGAGGUGUUGCUGCCAAAUCGAGAGUCCAGAGACUUAGUAGCACCCCUCCAACCAGUGUUAGGGCUCAGUCACACAAGGCAAUAAUCACUAUCUAUAAUAGGUGAAGUAAUCAGCUUUCGAACAAGCAAAGUUCACUAGUUUGUUGACUGAUCACAUGGUUUACAAAAAAAAAUAUUUUGUUUAUCAGCCGCAAAUCACUCUGUGUAAUAGGAGAAGUGUGGACGAUGAAUGAUAGAAGUAAAGAGCCCCCAUGAACUAUCCAGCAACUGUUCGUGCAUCCCUGACUGCCUAAUAACUGAGCAAUGUAAUCACCAAGCUCCAAUCCAAGAGGAGAUCAGCGCUCAUAUUGGACCGGAGUCAGACUGUGUAAUAUAGCUCUUAUUAGUCAUCUUCAUAGUCAUGCAGUGCUAACCAUCUCCAGGAUCAAGGACUAAUCAUACUGGAUACAUAUACCUAGAUAUGUAUGAACCUUCUGCCAUGUAUUAAACACUAAAAUCUCCCCUUAUUAUCUCCCCUUCACACUUUAACAUUGACAGGUCAUCUCCAAUAAAGGUUACCUGGCAAGAACUUGUUGCAAGACAUUGGGCUUUCCAUUCCCUCAGUUUCUUAAGAAUGUAGAAUACAAUGCUGAAAGCAGUCAUGGUCACUGCACAGAUCCGGUUAAUGGAAAAAAGACGCGGAAAUCCAGACAUCAAUAAGCCUGUCUUGUAUGUGUAUGCUCACUAUUAUAUGGUCAUGUAGGUGUGUGCUCAUUAUUGUAUGGCCAUGUAGGUGUAUGCUCACUAUUAUAUGGCCAUGUAGGUGUAUGCUCACUAUUAUAUGGCCAUGUAUGUGUAUGCUCACUAUUAUAUGGUCAUGUAGGUGUAUGCUCACUAUUAUAUGGCCAUGUAUGUGUAUGCUCACUAUUAUAUGGCCAUGUAUGUGUAUGCUCACUAUUAUACGGCCUUGUAUGUGUAUGCUCACUAUUAUACAGCCAUGUAGGUGUAUGCUCACUAUUAUACGGCCAUGUAAGUGUAUGCUCACUAUUAUACGGCCAUGUAGGUGUAUGCUCACUAUUAUGUGGCCAUAUAGGUGUAUGCUCACUAUUAUAUGGCCACGUAGGUGUAUGCUCAUUAUUAUAUGGCCAUGUAGGUGUAUGCUCAAUAUUAUAUGGCCACGUAGGUGUAUGCUCACUAUUAUGUGGCCAUGUAGGUGUAUGCUCACUAUUAUACGGCCAUGUAGGUGUAUGCUCACUAUUAUAUGGCCAUGUAGGUUUAUGCUCACUAUUAUACGGCCACGUAGGUGUAUGCUCAUUAUUAUAUGGCCAUGUAGGUGUAUGCUCAGUAUUAUUUGGGCAUGUAGAUGUAUGGUCACUAUUAUAUGGCCACGUAGGUGUAUGCUCACUAUUAUACAGCCAUGUAGGUGUAUGCUCAUUGUUAUACGUGGCUUAUUAUGUUGCAGCCAAAUAAUCAGCAGGUUUGAGGAAUAAUUUCUUGGAUAGUCACCAGUUCGCUACUUCACUUCUUUAUUUAAACAUGGCCAUCGGCAAAUAUCGGAUUUUGGAAGGCCUCAAUGCUCAGAUGUCUGUGAGGAGAUGUUAUCACUUAGAAAACUGCUCGGAAAAUGAUCUCAUUGCCUGCAGCAACACUACUUAGGAAUGAAACCCAUUAAAACUGCACAUAUGCCAGGUUCACCAAAGUUAGAGAUGCUCUUUCUAAUGUCUCCUCUGACUGACAAGCAGAGGAAAGAACAUAUAGAUUUAGUAAUUUAAAUAUGGCAACACCUUAAACUCUUCCCGCCCAAGGGUGUACUGUAUAAUAAUGUCAUGGGCAGGAAUGCAUUAACAGAAUAGAACAUAAAUUUAUGCUCUUACAUUCUACGAAGUUGUAAUUGCUUCAUAGAUGGUGAAAGAAGGCUGCAAUCAGCUGCCAAGAAUGACGUAAAAGGUAAAAUUACUGGGACUGGUGGAUUGGGGGGGGGGGGGGGGGGGGAGGCUGAUUAGGUCUUUUGCAGGGUAAUUGCAGGGUACCGAACAGCUAGAAUGACAGCUAGAGGUCAUUUACCCUCCACUAUGCUGAAGCCAUGGCAGCCUGUAUUAGUGGAGCACCGAUAACACAAAUGAAUGCUAUGCCAAAGCAUAGCAUUAAACAGUGUAUUCAAUUGGAAGAUUGCACAUAGUAGUCCCCUGUGGGGACUAAAAACUGUAAAAAUAAAUAAAUCCCGCUCCCUCAUAUAAAAGUUUAAAUCUAACAAAAAGUUUUAAACAUUUUUUGAAGUAGU